RNAcentral lists this ribosomal RNA (249 nucleotides) under Triticum aestivum (bread wheat). Its description in RNAcentral is "partial small subunit ribosomal RNA". Lineage: Eukaryota; Viridiplantae; Streptophyta; Magnoliopsida; Poales; Poaceae. The record is from RNAcentral.
AUGUGGGGAGGUUCGAUACAAUACAUAACACCCAUGUUAUUGGUAGGGUUCAUCUUUUUGUUCACCAUAGGAUGGCUCACUGGAAUAGUUCUAGCAAACUCUAGGCUAGACAUUGAUCUACAUGAUACUUAUUAUAUGGCGUUUGCACAUUUCCAUUAUGUAUUUUCUAUGGGAGCCAUUUUUGCUUUAUUGCUAGAUUUUACUAUUGGGUGGGUAAAAUCUUUGGUUGGACAUAUCCUGAAACUUUAG